Molecule: long non-coding RNA, 2448 nt
Organism: Parus major (Great Tit)
Lineage: Eukaryota; Metazoa; Chordata; Aves; Passeriformes; Paridae
Exons: 4
Source: RefSeq, a predicted model, not a curated record
GGGCUGAUAUCAAAGGCAUUUCGGUUUAUUUAUUUAGCCACUUGCAAUAGAUGCUGUGUUGUCAGCUCCAGGAGCUGAAGUCCCUUAUUUAUGUGCCUGGAUUUCCCUGUGUCAUUCUGCCAGCGUGGCUCAGCCCUGAUCUGGUUUCCACACUCAUUCAGUACUUGCUGAAAUAGUCACCUAGGGAGUAAACACUGCCAGCCACGGCCGUGCUUUCUGAGAUAUGGAGCCCAGCCCAGUCAGAAGUUUGCCAAGAUAACCUCCUUGCAUCAUGUGCCAAAGAGCCUCAAACAGCUGGAGCAUUGAAGGACUGUGACAUUUAAACAAGAUACUGAAAAUGCAAGUGGUGGCUUCUGGUGAGAAGCAAGGACAGUGUGGAGCCUGAAGGUAAACAGCGAAUGUACCUGAAGAAUGUACCUGGAUGCAUUCUAGUCCUGUGAGUGUGUGCAUCUGUCAUAAGUGUGUCACUUGCUAAGAGUCAAAAUAAGGAUGACAUGGAAAAAGAAAAGCCAAUACCUGAGUCUUUUUACAGCUAAUGAGAUGAGACUGAAUACAGUGGAGAGAGAAAUCUUUUCCUAAGGAACAAAUGGAUGCUCUCCUGAGAACAUCCAAUCUUCUGCAGAAUCACCCAGCAUAUGUGGAAGCAGACUUCAUGAACUAAAAUCUCUUCAGAACUGGCUCAACAUUUGAAAUUCUGCAUGUUGCCAAGUUCGUGGAAAAUUACUGGUACUUGGUAAUUCUGGCUUACUGCAUGGUACAAGAGCCACUGCUGUCCUUCUCACUUUGGAACUCCCAGCUCACUUUGUCUUCCUGAAAGCAGGCUUGGCUGUUCUGCCUCUCACAGACCAGCACAGAUCUGUUUUCUCUGAGCCACUGUGAAACAUGCUGCUUCACUUCAUACACACUUCCAGAAAUAAAGGCAGGCGAAUCCUGAUGUGAUGUUCUGAUAGAGCAUAUGCACUCAAUUCAUCCUACUUCCUAAAUCAAAAACUUGCAGGAUUUUUUUGGCUAUACAAAGGGAAGAGUAUAGUUGGUGGACUGACUAGACGACAGCCAGUUAGGGAGGCAAAGACUGACAAAAAAGAAAUGCACUGUCAGAUUUUUCUUUAAAACUGCAGUACAAAGGGAACUGGGAGACAGUUUCAGCAGAAGAGAUGAAGACAGACAAAUGGCUUUAAACUCAGUAGAACAGUAGGCAAGGUAAAAGGUUAAUUAUUCCUUUGGUGGAAGUUAGAGUCCCUGAAUUAUUGGGAGCAACUUCAUCUCCUCCCUAGAAGCAAUUCCUGGAUUUAGUAAUUUCUGCUCCCCCUGGGUUCAGUUAUGGCACUGCUCCAUGCUCACUGCUUGGCUUCCCACCAGCCCCAGGCUUCCCAAAGUGGAAGGAAGUAAUUUCUGCUGCGUCCAGCCAUAGGAAAUUAAGAGUUUGGCAUGGCAUUUUAGUUUACAAGAAGUCUGAAUAAGAGAAGCAACACAUCUCUACAACCGCAGGACAUCACAGCCUGGAGCAUGGUGUCAGAGCAAGGCCAAGAGAUGGGAAGGUGGAAGAGGUUAUAUUCCCUCACAGAGACAGAUUUAGGAAACAGGCUGCACGCCUAUUUCUUAUAGUGAGUAAUUAACACAGAUCACAAGAAAAGACAGCAGCAAUGGGCAGCAGAGCUUGCUGGAGUUUCUGACACUUGUUUUGUCAAUGAGCUGUGGCUUUAACAGCCAUUCCAAACAAACCAUGCUGGACAGCAUAUGGCAUACCCCAGGUGUUUGUGUACCUGUAGGAACUUUUCUCCUAAUUUCAAAAGUCGUGGAAGUUACAAGGUAUCCUUUUCAACCUUGUUUCUAGAAGGCAUAGUUCCUGGUAAGAGGGCACACUUUGGAGAUAAGCAGGAUAACUCCAAACAUAUUACAACUAGCCUUUCAAAAUCUCAAGGAUAUGAACUACUGGGGACAGUGGAGAAACUGCUGGGAGAUUUCUACAAGAAAAGACUUCAUUUGGCUUGAACUGUAAAAAAAUCCAACACAGUCACUGGAGUCAGCCAUGCUGCUGCUUUUGAGGUGACUGAUAAGAAAAAUCCUGACAAUCUUAGAGCUAAACCUUUCUCUUGAGUGCCCCUGCAUAAAAGAUGUGAAGUUUCAUAAUAAGAUAGUGAUAAUUCUUAUUUUUAUUAUGAGCUUUGCAAUAUUUGAUAUUUGUUUAUAGACCAGCUCCCAGAAUCAAAGGAUUAGGUGAAAGUCUGUUUUAAUUAAGAAACAAAGGUUUUCUUCAGAUUUUUCUGCCCACUUUGUGAGAUGCUGGGAGGAAGCAUAUCACUUUUCUUUCAUGGUAAUCAUGAGAUGCUCUGUGCUGACUUAUUCAGCCAUGCUACUCAGUUUUAUGCUAGGUAACAUUCUGAUGAUUAUCUUUACACUUUGGAGAUGUAAUGCUGCAUUAUCUUACUAAAUAAAAGAUUAAAUCAA